Molecule: long non-coding RNA, 1963 nt
Organism: Condylura cristata (star-nosed mole)
Lineage: Eukaryota; Metazoa; Chordata; Mammalia; Eulipotyphla; Talpidae
Exons: 4
Source: RefSeq, a predicted model, not a curated record
GGCUGAGCACCGGGCGGGGGCUGGCCCUGCCUCUGGUCUGGGAGCCAGAGAGGAGCCUGGGGCGGGGCGGGGGAGGGUCUCCCCUACAGCCCUGCCCAGGCGCUGCGGGGAUGUGGGCCUCGGGCUGCCUAGGCCCCCAGCUGCAAGCGGCUGCGUCCUCAGGUGGGGCUCUGAGUCCAUCAGCGGGGCCCAGGGGCCGGUUGGUUGGGAGCAGGUGCGCCUGGGCGGGGUGGGGGGCGAGGGGGGCCCUGAGCCUGCUGUAGGCCCCCGGGGGGCCUCGUCGUGGCCCCCACCACGUCCCCACCCUGCUUGGAUGUGACCCCGCGCAGGCCCCAGGGACCCACCCACACCCACGGGGCUGGUGUCUCCGUGGCCUCCGGCUCCCGUGACACGCUGGUUUGCCCCGUGGGGGCCCGGAGCAACGGGCUAGGCGAGGCUGGGCCACGAGCACAGCUCCCAGGCUCACGGCCGGCGCCCAGCCCUGCCUGCGGCUCUCCUCUCCCAGGGCGUGCGGGCGCCCACUGGGGCAGCGGCCGGCAGGCGCCCACGCAGGCAGAGGGGCUGUGCGUCUCCUGGGACACGUCUGUGGGCGGCUUCUCCCUGGUUUCUGCCUCCGCGAGCCGCACUGGGCCUGGGGCCUUCUUCAAGGUGGGGCCUGUCCAGCCGCUGCGGUGCUCCCCGCCCCUGGCCAGUAGCCAUGUCCCUGGCUGCCAGUGGCGGCUCUGACCAGGAGACCCAGGCAGGCGGCUCGGGGACCGGAGAUGGUGACAUCAGUCCUUCGGAGCUACCGCAACAUCAGCACUCAAUAAAUGUGACCCUGCGUGACGUGACGUUUCAUCAAGGUCUUGGCUGGGCAACUUGACCCCCCGCCUCCCCUCCCCCACACAGGGAGGCUGGCCCGGUCCUCCCAAAAGAGGACAGUUUGGGUGGCCCCUCCACAGACAGACGGGGGUCGGGCUCCCCGGGGGGCCUCCGCCCCACGGGCGUCUCUGGGGGCAUCGCUGCACGGCCUGGGUGGUUCCCAGCAGCUGCGGGCCCUGGAUCGGGGGCCCGGCCCGCGCGGCCCCAAGCUGACGGCAGAGGGCUCAGGAGAGGCGGCCAGGGAGCUGGACCCGUGCCCCGAGACCCGGCCGGCGCCCACACCUCUCGGAACCUGCCUCUUCCUCCCUGGGGCAGGAAACCAGAGGACAAAGCUGCCAGGGGCUUCUUGAAAGCAUCAGAGCGGCGCGGGCAAGCGCUUGGUGCAGGCCCCGUGAUAAGCGCGGACUGUUUACACUGUCGGUGUCAAUUUAAUUUUACAAGAGUUGAGGUAAUAGGACCCCCCCCUCACCAACCCCUCCCCAACCGGGCAGCAGACACCCACAAUCAUUUAUCUCUGACUCUCACCCUACACAGGUAAACGCCCCACCCCGGGGCUGCUGGCAAAGGCGUUUAAAAUGCACAGACUCUCCCUUCCUGUGCCUGUGCCAAGGGGGAGCUCUCUCCCGAGAAAGGGAACCCCCUUUCCUGCACCCGCAGGUGUUCCCCGGGCUUGUCCAGGCUCUGCUGCAGCUGCCAAGACAAGACACUGGUGGGGGGCAGGCCUCCCCUGCACCGCGGCCAGAAGCAGCCCGCUGGCCGAGGCCCGCGUGGCCCGAUGCCAGGAGACGAGGCCAGCGGCCUCCAGUGCCCCGUGAGUGUCCAGCAGCUACUGGCGCAGUGAUGACCCAGCCAGCCGUGUCUUUACUUCCUCGCCCCAGGGCAAGAGGGCCUGGAGGACAGCCGGACACUGGCCUACAAUUAAGGGACCAAGGAGCGAAGUGACCAGUCCAGGCAGGACAGCUGGGCCUGGCAGCCCAGGUCAGCUCCAGUGACACCCUGACACAGGUUGGCUCGGCGAAGAUGACCUCGAAGAACUCCGCCUCGGCCUUGGCCACCUGCUCCGCCAGGCUCAGGGCGGCCUCGUCCUCCCUCAGCUCGUCGC